CGACAGUUAGGGGCCCCCAUCAACCACAACCUAUCACCCAGGAAUCAAUGGAAAAAUACAAAAUUAAUAAUGCUAAAUAAUAAACCCUCCAUUGACGAUGGUAUUCCAUCUCAAAUAGAACAAAAGUUAUUCUUAAAAGUUGUUACAUAUGUUGGAGACUGUUAUUAUCAUUGUUAUAGACACAGAAUUUUCCAUUCUACUGAUAAAUAUUCAAUAUAAAUAUAAGAUCUCAGUCAAACAAUAACAGCUAGUCAACAGGGACCCCCACACCAAAUAUGCCUAAGGGCCCCCUCUUCCUCUGUUACGCCACUGGGCCCCCUCCCAUUAUUAAUGACCGGUGGUCCCUAAUCAUUCAUUAUAUACAUUUCAAACAAUUUCAUAUUAAUAUAUACAUCACUGGCUUUUCAAGAUACACAGACUACUAUAAACAGAAAGUCAGAAACAAGUGCUAAUACUAAAUGGUAGAAAUACACAAUAAUGGAAAAAGGCCUUCAGUCAAUUAUCUGCCAGUAUGAUAUUCGCAUGCUUACUAUAUGAUGUUAAGAUGUAUCAUCUUAGGCCCUGUUCACAUGAGCCAGGCUAGCCUGCCUUGCCAGAAUAGAAAUUGUUAUCAUAUGAGUCAGGAUCUUGGCUAACCAAGACACUGAAGAUAAGCCUGGCUAACUAGGCCAUGCAGCUCGACUCAUCUAAUGUCCAUUUCAUGUACUAUGCAUAAUAAUCACUACAUAAAGUGUCUGCUAUAGCACAACAUAUUUCAACUUUUCAUAUUUCAUACACUUAAUAAUAUUAACAUGUUAAAAACAAGAUUUUAACAAUUAUUUUAUUAAUUGACAACAAUUAUUUUAUUAAAAUAUUGAUUAUUUUAACAAUUAUUUUAUUAAUAACAAUUAUUUUAUUAAAAUAUUGAUUCCCUUCAUUGCUGAAAUCUAUCAGUAAUUUAAUAAAAUAAUUGUUAUUAAUAAAAUAAUUGUUAAAAUAAUC
Molecule: non-coding RNA, 981 nt
Organism: Paramuricea clavata
Lineage: Eukaryota; Metazoa; Cnidaria; Anthozoa; Malacalcyonacea; Plexauridae
Source: the annotation of a GenBank genome assembly